Molecule: non-coding RNA, 29 nt
Filed under: Callithrix jacchus (white-tufted-ear marmoset)
Lineage: Eukaryota; Metazoa; Chordata; Mammalia; Primates; Cebidae
Also listed under: 2 other names
Source: RNAcentral
GAUUUCCGUGGAGAGGAACAACUCUGAGU